GAAGGUUAAGUGAUGAACAAAAUGAUACUGUUUCUCUAAUUGCUAACCUUGGAGGAAGUAUGGUCAGCAGUCCUGGGAGAAACUCAGCUACCUCAACGAAGCGAGGAUCCAUCUCCUUUCGAACAACAGACAAGGAUGAAACUACUUCAGGGGCCUUUGUGGAAUUAAGUGUAUUCUCUCCUAGUCAGCAUUCAUCCCCUCCUGGCUCACCUCAACUUCUUGGCUGGCCUAUGCUACCAUUCUCUAAUUGCUAACAUUGGAGGAAGUAUGGUCAGCAGUCCUGGGAGAAAUUCAGCUACCUCAACGAAGCGAGGAUCCAUCUCCUUUCGAACAACGGACAAGGAUGAAACUACUUCAGGGGCCUUUGUGGAAUUAAGUGUAUUCUCUCCUAGUCAGCAUUCAUCCCCUCCUGGCUCACCUCAACUUCUUGGCUGGCCUAUGCUACCACCCUCACAAGCUCAAGGUCCCUUAUAGUUUUCUUGGGGCUGUAUCUUUCUUGUAUUCUCCUAUUACUGUCAUGGUGGUGGAUUAUAACUGAAAGGUCACUUUUUUGGGUUUUAUAUUGUUUGUGUUCAUUAUAUGAGUGAUUUCGAUGUUUGGUACAUUUUUUACUAGUAAUAAUUAGGACUUGCGAACAUGGAGAGGUGAAAUCUAACAAAAUUUGCUGUAUAAAAGGUUAUCUUUCAUUCUUUUGUAUUCCAUAUAGCUGAAUAUUGAGUCACCGAACAGUAGUUUGUAUUGCAAAUACACCUAUGGGAAAUGAAUGAAUACUAUAUGAAGUUAUGAACCAAAUUUGCCCCAAAAGAAAUUAAGUCGUGAUGCCUAUUGGUUAACAGCUUAAGGAUGCUAAGACCAUUAUAAGUCGACCUUUUUGUGGGUUUCCCCCCUUUUCUUCGUGUAGCUUCCCACCCUCUUCUUCGUGUGGUUUUCAUUUGCCCUUUUGCAUCCAACUCGAAGGUUUUAACUUAAAAUGAACUUACAUUUUCCCAGCCUCUGACAUUUAUUAUUAGGUCUUUAGCUUAGCCCCUACAAUCAUCAAAUUUCGUCUUCUGAUAAGUCGUGACAUC
This 1067-nucleotide long non-coding RNA is filed under the name Nicotiana benthamiana. Its description in RNAcentral is "long non-coding RNA (NBEN_LNC004992)". The record is from RNAcentral. Lineage: Eukaryota; Viridiplantae; Streptophyta; Magnoliopsida; Solanales; Solanaceae.